AUUGAACGCUGGCGGCAGGCCUAACACAUGCAAGUCGAAUGGUAACAGGAAACAGCUUGCUGUUUCGCUGACGAGUGGCGGACGGGUGAGUAAUGUCUGGGAAACUGCCUGAUGGAGGGGGAUAACUACUGGAAACGGUAGCUAAUACCGCAUAACGUCGCAAGACCAAAGAGGGGGACCUUCGGGCCUCUUGUCAUCAGAUGUGCCCAGAUGGGAUUAGCUAGUAGGUGGGGUAACGGCUCACCUAGGCGACGAUCCCUAGCUGGUCUGAGAGGAUGACCAGCCACCCUGGAACUGAGACACGGUCCAGACUCCUACGGGAGGCAGCAGUGGGGAAUAUUGCACAAUGGGCGCAAGCCUGAUGCAGCAAUGCCGCGUGUAUGAAGAAGGCCUUCGGGUUGUAAAGUACUUUCAGCGGGGAGGAAGGGAGUAAAGUUAAUACCUUUGCUCAUUGACGUUACCCGCAGAAGAAGCACCGGCUAACUCCGUG
Molecule: ribosomal RNA, 490 nt
Filed under: uncultured bacterium
Lineage: Bacteria
Description: partial 16S ribosomal RNA
Rfam family: Bacterial small subunit ribosomal RNA
Source: RNAcentral